Molecule: ribosomal RNA, 492 nt
Filed under: uncultured bacterium
Lineage: Bacteria
Description: partial 16S ribosomal RNA
Rfam family: Bacterial small subunit ribosomal RNA
Source: RNAcentral
AGUGAACGCUGGCGGUAGGCCUAACACAUGCAAGUCGAACGGCAGCACAGUAAGAGCUUGCUCUUACGGGUGGCGAGUGGCGGACGGGUGAGGAAUACAUCGGAAUCUACUUUUUCGUGGGGGAUAACGUAGGGAAACUUACGCUAAUACCGCAUACGACCUACGGGUGAAAGCAGGGGAUCUUCGGACCUUGCGCGAUUGAAUGAGCCGAUGUCGGAUUAGCUAGGUGGCGGGGUAAAGGCGCACCAAGGCGACGAUCCGUAGCUGGUAUGAGAGGAUGGUCAGACACACUGGAACUGAGACACGGUCCAGACUCCGACGGGAGGCAGCAGUGGGGAAUAUUGGACAAUGGGCGCAAGCCUGAUCCAGCCAUACCGCGUGGGUGAAGAAGGCCUUCGGGUUGUAAAGCCCUUUUGUUGGGAAAGAAAAGCAGCAGGAUAAUACCCCGCUGUUCUGACGGUACCCAAAGAAUAAGCACCGGCUAACUUCGUG